UAUAAUUGUCCGUCCCAGUCAGGCGCCUCUUCCAUGUAAAGAUAUCGGCAGCUUCAAGCCUUGCCGAUAUCUCAAUCCGUACGUGAAUGUAAAUUAACCGAAAUCCUUGUUACCAAGCCCUGCAUGGUGCUCUCUCACAUAAUGCUUCUUUAAAUUUUCAAUCUCACUUAACUUCCGGGGUUAGUACUAUAUUUUGCCAUGAGUUAACUCCCCGUGAUGGCCAGUUUCAUGUACUAUAUAUAAGUAAUUUGCCUUUUGCAUGGCUAUAAUUCUGCAUCCGUGUCUAAGGCCCAGUUUCACAGUUCCUCAUGAUGGGUUAGUAAGCUCCGAAACCAAUACCAGAGCCUUCGAAAUUUCCUUGUACGGUGUCUGGAGUUUAUAUUCAAGUUCACAAAUUUGACGAGACUAUACAGGAAAGGUCUUAUAUUGUCAUGAUACGAAGGAAAGGGAAGAGAAGGGAGAUGAGAUUGGGAGACGAGUGAGCCGAGAUCCUGUUUAUAUUCAAGUUCACAAAUUUGACGAGACUAUACAGGAAAAGCUCUCUGUUUAUGAUAUGAAGGAAAGGGAAGAGAAGGGAGAUGAGUAAGCUGAGAUCCUGUUUAUAUUCAAGUUCACAAAUUUGACGAGACUAUACAGGAAAAUCUCUGUGUUUAUGAUAUGAAGGAAAGGGAAGAGAAGGGAGAUGAGUAAGCUGGGAUCCUGUUUAUAUUCAAGUCCACAAAUUUGACGACACAAUACAGGAAAAGCUCUUUGUAUUUAGUGUGUCAUCGAAGACCGCGCCAUUUUGAACAGUAUGGGAUUCUAUAGCUUGGUUCGGGAGUGUUACAAAGACCAUGAUGGACUGUGGAAAUGGCCCUUAAUGUUCCCUUUUCUAAUAUGCCUCUCUGUUUUUGCAGGAUGCCGCGGACGGACCAUGCAGAGGACUCAUCGCGACGACACCAACGGUUUGGUUAAGUGGGUUCUCUUGUGUGUGCGUCUGUGUGUGAAUGGCAGGCCUGUCGUAUGAUUGUGUGUGUGUGUGCGUUGGCGUUAUGCCUUCGCGCUAUUAUUUUGUUAGGAUGUAUUUUGUGUGUGAACUUUUUGCACGUAAUCUUUUUUUACACCCAUAGCUAGCGUUUGUUUGUGUGUUGCUGUGUUCCGGGAGAUGGGCGCCGGGGGACAUGGGCUUGGGGGGGCGCACGUGACCACCUCUGUCCGUGAUCUCUUCAGCUGGGGAGACCGCGUGUUGCCCCGGCUGGAGAGACACGUCGAUGGAGGUGGUAGCGUGUGUCGUCCCUUGCCUGUAUCCUCUGGCGUCCAGAGGCGCGUAAGUGGAGAGCAUCGGCGCAGCGCGGGAGCAGCACGUCAGGGUGUAGGGUGUUUGUUUAGCUGGUGUAGGGUGUUAGGGUGUUAGGUGUAACAACGGUUGGCUCUUUCACAGAACGGGUGUGAUUCCGUUCUGCGUUUGAGUCUUCCACCUUCAGGCGGUCUCCCUCCGAGAUGUCUGAAGUUUUUUUUGUCGGUUUUCUCCGUAGGAGGAAGCCGACUCUAGCUACUCUGGCCUCUCUUCCGGGGGUCAGAGCGGUCGGGCUCUGCUUGGCCAGGCGUGUUCUUUCGCGUUGUCUCCGCCGACGUUUUGCCAGACUCUUCCGUACGGUUGAGCCUGGCUUUUUUAUUAGGUGGAUCAGGCUGCCUUCUUCCAAGGAGUCUGAUGGGAGUGGAGUCUUUUUUUUGGUGUAUGUCUGUGGGUGCUCAGUGGGUAAGGGCGGGUGGGGUAGAAUGGUUGGUGGGCUGGAAGUGGGUUGGGGGAUGAACCUUCUGGGAUUUGGGUUGUGUCGAGCCUUACCGCCUGGUGUGUUGGGUAACCUUCACGCCAGGGGGGGGGUGCCAAGACCAUAUCCAUUUCCUGGGCAGGGCGAUUCCCCUUUCCCAUGCUAACUGGCCCUCCUCCGUCUGCCUCCCCAAACCCCCGCUGAGUGCUUGUGUGUGUUAUUUUUAUUUAGGAUGUCUUUUUUUUCUAUGCCUUUUUCCCGUGUGUUUAUACCCAAUAGCUAGCGUGUGUGUGUGUGGCAGUCC
Eriocheir sinensis (Chinese mitten crab) is the source of this 2055-nucleotide long non-coding RNA. RefSeq lists it as uncharacterized. Lineage: Eukaryota; Metazoa; Arthropoda; Malacostraca; Decapoda; Varunidae. The transcript is spliced from 3 exons. The record is from RefSeq and is a predicted model, not a curated record.